Molecule: ribosomal RNA, 253 nt
Filed under: uncultured bacterium
Lineage: Bacteria
Description: partial 16S ribosomal RNA
Rfam family: Bacterial small subunit ribosomal RNA
Source: RNAcentral
UACGAAAGGGGCUAGCGUUGUUCGGAAUUACUGGGCGUAAAGCGCACGUAGGCGGCCUUGUAAGAUGGGGGUGAAAUCCCCGGGCUCAACCCGGGAAUUGCCUUCAUGACUGCAAAGCUCGAGGAUGCGAGAGGUGAAUGGAAUUCCGAGUGUAGAGGUGAAAUUCGUAGAUAUUCGGAAGAACACCAGUGGCGAAGGCGGCUAACUGGCGCAUUUCUGACGCUGAGGUGCGAAAGCGUGGGGAGCAAACAGG